GACGAACGCUGGCGGCGUGCUUAACACAUGCAAGUCGAACGGAAGGGCCCUGCUUUUGUGGGGUGCUCGAGUGGCGAACGGGUGAGUAGCACGUGAGUAACCUGCCCUUGACUUUGGGGUAACUUCAGGAAACUGGGGCUAAUACCGGAUAGGAGCUCCUGCUGCAUGGUGGGGGUUGGAAAGUUUCGGCGGUUGGGGAUGGACUCGCGGCUUAUCAGCUUGUUGGUGGGGUAGUGGCUUACCAAGGCUUUGACGGGUAGCCGGCCUGAGAGGGUGACCGGCCACAUUGGGACUGAGAUACGGCCCAGACUCCUACGGGAGGCAGCAGUGGGGAAUAUUGCACAAUGGGCGGAAGCCUGAUGCAGCAACGCCGCGUGCGGGAUGACGGCCUUCGGGUUGUAAACCGCUUUCGCCUGUGACGAAGCGUGAGUGACGGUAAUGGGUAAAGAAGCACCGGCUAACUACGUG
RNAcentral lists this ribosomal RNA (468 nucleotides) under uncultured bacterium. RNAcentral's name for it is "partial 16S ribosomal RNA". It matches the Rfam family "Bacterial small subunit ribosomal RNA", at positions 28 to 507 of the family's 1533-position model. The record is from RNAcentral.